GAUCAUGGCUCAGGACGAACGCUGGCGGCGCGCCUAACACAUGCAAGUCGAACGGAGAUUACAGGCGGAAGUUUUCGGAUGGAAGCUUGUAAACUUAGUGGCAGACGGGUGAGUAACACGUGAGCAACCUGCCUAUCAGAGGGGGAUAACGAUUGGAAACGAUCGCUAAUACCGCAUGACAUAGCGGAAUCGCAUGGUUCUGUUAUCAAAGAUUUUAUCGCUGAUAGAUGGG
This 232-nucleotide ribosomal RNA is filed under the name uncultured bacterium. Its description in RNAcentral is "partial 16S ribosomal RNA". It matches the Rfam family "Bacterial small subunit ribosomal RNA", at positions 15 to 229 of the family's 1533-position model. The record is from RNAcentral.